UCCUCAUAGCCUUUUUUUGUUUCAUGGUU
This 29-nucleotide non-coding RNA is filed under the name Rattus norvegicus (Norway rat). The record is from RNAcentral. Lineage: Eukaryota; Metazoa; Chordata; Mammalia; Rodentia; Muridae.